CUUUGUUGUGAGGAAUGCCGCAUGGACCGAAGCCAUGCGCUCCACAUCUAGACGGUGAUUUGGACGCUAUGCUUCGGACCAGGCUUCAUUCCCCUCAGCACAG
Molecule: microRNA precursor, 103 nt
Filed under: Physcomitrium patens
Lineage: Eukaryota; Viridiplantae; Streptophyta; Bryopsida; Funariales; Funariaceae
Description: Physcomitrella patens miR166b stem-loop (ppt-MIR166b)
Gene: ppt-MIR166b
Source: miRBase by way of RNAcentral